CCCUGGGCCGGGCCGGGCCGCAAAGCUCGUCCCCGGAAGGCCCCAGGAGCUCCACGGGCGGCCGCCUCCGCUGCCGGCAGCGGGCGGGACGCGGCGCGGCUGGCCCCCGCAGGCCCCCGCGCCUCCAGUCCCCGCUCGGCACCCCUUCCUUCCGAGUCACCCCACGGGCCGGGCUUCCGGCCUGGGCGAGGGAGAGGCCGGCCGCCGGGACCCCGGGCUCCUCUCGGGUUGCCGCGUGCUCGCGGAGGGUGUAGCCGUGCCGGGCUCCCUCUCGGGCCGCGGGGGCGCACUGUCUGCGCUGGUGGGAGGAUGUCGCGGGCAGGGGCAGAGACGGACCGCGGCGGGCGCUGGGCACCACACCUGUGCGCGCGCUGCGAGGGCAGUGAACCAGUGAUGCAGCCCGGGGGCCGGGGGUUCGACUGCAGCUGUGCUGCCUUCACCUAGCUGCCAAGGCCUCGGGCAGGCGGGCUCGUCUGGUUUUGCUUGCAUAGGAGUAUCUGAAAAAACCGGCGAAUAGUGCUAACAAGCAGCACGGGUGCGGCACUCAGGCACUCCAGAGAUAAUGUGGACAGAUUUCGAUUUUCUCUUAUAUCCUUUUUUUGGAGAAAGGGCACGGUUGGGGACAUUCCUGUUCUGCUGAGUUGCUUUCCAUUAUAUGUGGAACCACCCAUGACAAUUAUCCUCCUAUUUUAAGUUCCUAACUGCCAAAACGGAUCAGACCAGAAAAUUCUAAUUCAUGGACAAAGUACACUGUGUCAAUAUACCUGACAGAAGAAAUUUCAAACUCUCCAGAAUGCCUACCUCCAUCCCUCAUACAAGGUUCAACUGAGGGUAAGCAGUGACUUUGGUGAGCUGGUGCAUGCACUCUCUGACCUAACAAGCACAAGAGGAAGCUCACAGUUAGGGCCUGACAAUUCGGAAGCAAUAUGACGCGAGCAGCACUACUGCACCUCUACAUAACACAGAGUAGUGGUAUAAGCUCCAGAGUCAAAACAUCCAGGCAGAAGCUCAGUUCUGCUAGUGAAUCAGCUCUGUGACCUGUGGGCAGAUUAUUUAACAUCUUUCAGCCUCAGUUAUUCUUCCCAUUAGUAAAAUGGUAAUAUUAGCUAAUCAGGACUUUUUUCUUUUAUAGACAUGCUGUAACUUAAAUAUUAACAUAGUAGGAAAACAUAUGUCACAGGCCCUAUAAUAAGAACAAGUACCCUCUAUUCUCCAUAAUUAAGGCACCACAUCAGACAGUCUGAAAGAUACACAGAAAUGAAGAAUGAACAAAGUGGAUGAUAAAAGAAAGUAGGGAAUAAGGGGUGAGGAGAUUAGUACCAGACCUCAAACCAAAGAGUACCAAGCAGGUGCUAGGAGCCAGCUGGUUUGGGAGCAGAGGAGGGUCUAGUUAAAGCUGGACACUGACCCAGACUGACCUUCCAAUUAGUCUGUUCCAUUGGACCAGGCCACCUAGGUAAUUCCUUGAAGCCCCUCUAAGAAUUACUAAUUUAUUGGGCAGUUUCUUCAUAAACAAUUUUAAGUAAACACUGGCAGUUACACUGCCCAUGCUGAAAAUCAGUGGAGAACAAAUUAGCAAAUUUUUACUCAACUUUAUUUUUACCAACUUGAGUAUCUCCCACACUUGCCAAAUUUAUUCACACACACCCCUGUGACCUGCUACGGAGCAUCUGAUUUGGGAGGAAGAAGGGAGCACACAGUUUAUAACCCAGGCACAGGCACAGCACUUAAGGGAAAUAUGUAACAUCCUAACAAAGUUUUUGACUUAUUGAACAUUUAAGAAAGACAAAAAACCCACUGAACAAUAUAAAAGAAUAUAAAACCAGGUUAAAUGUCAUUUAAAAGGCUGGGUUAAUUCAUUACAUUGGUUAUACUGACUGUCUACCAAGGAACAUGCAAUCAGGAAUAAGUGUAAGCAAGAGGAAGGAGGAAGAAAGGAAGGAAAGAAAGAAAUUCCUAAUGGACAUAGAAUGGGGUGCCAAGCUGCUGCCAGGAAUGGGACCUAACCAGCAGGUGAAUUCACAGUGCAGGAUCCCACUUGUGACACCCAUUCUGCUAAUUCAGUCAAACCAGAAAGUCCUCUGGCCCCUCCCCUACCAUCAGGUAGAGUCACCUUUAAAUUCUACCAUGCAAAUAACAGUCUUUCUUCUUGUGGACCCUCAAAAAAGUGCUUUCAUCUGCUCCCUUGGGAGACUGACCACCUCUAUUACUCACACUUGCCUUUCCCUUCCUUCAAUCCCUAUUCAAAGCUCACACCUCCAUCCUCUGCUUAAUUAUGCCUGAACUAAUUAAUUAUGACUUCCAAAUAACUGCAGGCAUCACCCAGAGGAUGAAAUGGAAAUUCCCCUGUGGGAAAUACCUGCUGUGCUGAGAUGCAUCCAAUGCCAAAAAACGAAGAGCUGGAAAUGCCCGAGGCAGAGAAUUAAAAUGAGGGGCCAAACUGGCAGAAAAUCGGCACCAAGGGGUAUAAAACAGGACUAGAGUGCAGUCACUACCGUUUGGGUUCAGAAAAUCCAUGAGGUCCUGUGGUAAAAGAAACAAUAGUUAAAGUCAGCAGUAAAUGUACAUGCACCUCUUUCUGGAAGGACUCCCAGGAAACACUGCUGCCUCUGGGGAUAGGUGCUCGGGGCAGGAGUAAGAGGGAGACUCUAGUAUAUCCCUUAAGAACCUUCUGGAUUUUGAACCAUAUGAAUCCAUGAAUCAGCAGAGAAGUACUGUCAAAUAGCAGAUCAUAAACUUUCCUCUAAGCUUUCUUAAUACUACAAUGGAGCAAUUUUACUAUUUUUCGUAAUUCAUCAAUUCAAAUACAAAGUACUCACAGGGUUCAGGCCAUAUCCUAACCUUUGAAAUGUGCAUCUCACACAAUCUAGGGCACUACUAAAGCACUGUGAUCCCAGGCCCGAACUCUCUCUUCAGCAGCUCCAAGUCUGUGCCAAACAGUUGGAUCAAUGUAUUUGGCCAAAAGUUCAAGGGUGCACUACUCCUGCCACCACCCUAACAGAUUGCUUAAAUGGUUACAUGACAGGUGGUGUGAUGCCAGAAACAGUCCUGCAAUACUGAGACACAGCAUUUACCGGGCACCGGGGGGAGAGCUGAGGCCAGCACUGAUCCCUGCAGUUGGCAGGGGCUACAUGCAUUCAACAUACCACAUGCACCCUCAUUGAAAAUAAGCAGUCACAGCUUUCAGAGCCGGGACUUCUACACAAGCAGCGGAAUUUGUCCUGCUGUCCGGCUUAAUCCUACAGAAACUGUUCAUCACUAUCCCAGAAUUCUCUUUGGAAGCACCAUUUAUCCAACUAGCUGAAAGGCAUGGCUGGGUUUGGGACAAUUGUCUGACUGUCACUCCACAGUGAACACUCUGAAGAAAAGAAACUUUUCAUCAAUACAACAUGCUUCCCAGGGGCACUGCUAGUCUAAACAAUGCUAAAUUACAACAUUAGUAAUUCAGAUUUUUUUAAGUUGCCUUGGUAAUAAAUACCUUAGUUGGAAGAAGAAAAA
Manis javanica (Malayan pangolin) is the source of this 3498-nucleotide long non-coding RNA. RefSeq lists it as uncharacterized. Lineage: Eukaryota; Metazoa; Chordata; Mammalia; Pholidota; Manidae. The record is from RefSeq and is a predicted model, not a curated record.